AUCUCAUUCCACAGAGGAAGGAGGAAAGAGAGGGCAGAGGGAAAGAGGGCGGAAAACAAAAGGGGUUCAGGGCAGCCUUCACCGUGCCUCCCAGGAAGCCCCCACAGAACUCCCUCUUACACCUCACUGGCAGAGAAAUAGUUCCAAAGGCGUCUGGGAAAUGUAGUUUUUUUCCCAAAGGCAAUGAUUCCCAAUGGUAAAUCAUGGUUCUGUUCCUAAGGAAGAAAGUGGACUGCAUAGUGGGGCAAGCAGAUCACAGCCUGUGCCCUACGUGAGACGGCAUCUAUGGAUGUACAGGAUCUUCUGGAGGCUGAGGAGAGAGCACUUUAUAUGCGCUGAGACUUGGCUGCAGCCUCGACAUAUCCCGAGACACAGUCCUGUUUCUCAGCUUCUUGCAGGAUGUCAGCGAGGAGACUCCCGUACUGACCUGCGCUCCAAGAGCGUCUCCAUCCAUCGCCAAGGGGCUAGUGCCGGGUCUGGCCACUCCGUCACGUCAUUCCCUGAUAGCUUUGCUUGCAAUGCUUGCAUGCCCUCCUUCCUCCGUUUAUGUGCCCUGGAUCGUCCCUCUCCUUCCUCUGUGUCUUUCAGACAAAUGAAGAAACCGAGGCUCAGGGAAGGUCCCUGA
RNAcentral lists this long non-coding RNA (625 nucleotides) under Bos indicus x Bos taurus (hybrid cattle). RNAcentral describes it as "lncRNA (ENSBIXG00000017918.1)". Lineage: Eukaryota; Metazoa; Chordata; Mammalia; Artiodactyla; Bovidae. The record is from RNAcentral.